This 1276-nucleotide ribosomal RNA is filed under the name metagenome. RNAcentral's name for it is "SSU rRNA". It matches the Rfam family "Eukaryotic small subunit ribosomal RNA", at positions 603 to 1777 of the family's 1831-position model. The record is from RNAcentral.
AUUAAAGUUGCUGCAGUUAAAAAGCUCGUAGUUGGAUUUCGGCGUGCGCUCAGGCUGGUCGGCCGUCAAGGUCUGUACCGUUUGGGUCACGCCCCACUGUAGGAUACUCACCGCUGUCCUUAACUGGGUGGCGGUCAAAGGGGGUGUGCAUGGGGGCAACUCUGUGCAUAUCUCUGGGGUUCCUACUCUUUUACUUUGAGCAAAUUAGAGUGUUCAAAGCAGGCAAUCGAGCCUUGAAUACUUCAGCAUGGGAUAAUGGAACAGGACUGGGGUCCUGAUUUCGUUGGUUUCUGGGAUCUCAGUAAUGAUUAAUAGGGAUAGUUGGGGGCAUUAGUAUUUAAUUGUCAGAGGUGAAAUUCUUGGAUUUAUGAAAGACUAACUUCUGCGAAAGCAUUUGCCAAGGAUGUUUUCAUUAAUCAAGAACGAAAGUUAGGGGAUCGAAGACGAUCAGAUACCGUCGUAGUCUUAACCAUAAACGAUGCCGACCAGCGAUUGGGAGACGUUACAUGGAUGACUCCCCCAGCAGCUUGCGAGAAAUCACAAGUCUUUGGGUUCCGGGGGGAGUAUGGUCGCAAGGCUGAAACUUAAAGGAAUUGACGGAAGGGCACCACCAGGAGUGGAGCCUGCGGCUUAAUUUGACACAACACGGGGAAACUUACCAGGUCCAGACAUAGUAAGGAUUGACAGAUUUGAGAGCUCUUUCUUGAUUCUAUGGGUGGUGGUGCGUGGCCGUUCUUAGUUGGUGGAGUGAUUUGUCUGGUUAAUUCCGUUAACGAACGAGACCUUAACCUGCUAAAUAUGUCACUGGUAGACUUCUGCCAAAACAGGUGGGUGUCUAGGGGAAAGUUUCGAUGGACUCCGACGCAUUCAUCUGUGGAUGACUACCAGGAUGUACUUCUUAGAGGGACUAUCUGUAUCAAAGCAGAUGGAAGUUUGAGGCAAUAACAGGUCUGUGAUGCCCUUAGAUGUUCUGGGCCGCACGCGCGCUACACUGACAAGUUCAACGAGUUUAACACCUUGCUCGAUAGGGCUGGGUAAUCUUUGAAAAACUUGUCGUGAUGGGGAUAGAUCAUUGUAAUUAUUGGUCUUCAACGAGGAAUUCCUAGUAAGCGUGAGUCAUCAGCUCGCGUUGAUUACGUCCCUGCCCUUUGUACACACCGCCCGUCGCUCCUACCGAUUGAAUGAUCCGGUGAAAUGUUGGGAGCUGGGGUCUUUUGGCGGCGGGGCAACUCGUCGUCAGGGAUUCUGCAAACUUCAUUAAACCUUAUCAUUUAGA